This 525-nucleotide long non-coding RNA is filed under the name Homo sapiens (human). RNAcentral's name for it is "HSALNT0318888". The record is from RNAcentral. Lineage: Eukaryota; Metazoa; Chordata; Mammalia; Primates; Hominidae.
UGGCUUGCAGAUGGACAAGCUUUAUAACAUUGAAACUGCAAACCAGGAAAUUCUGUCAGUUUGCCACUGCCUGCUCUGCUCCAGCUGAAAAUACUUUAGCUCAGGUUCAGAAAUCUUCUCAGUGAGCUGCUAUUCAGACUCAGAAAGUAGCUUGGAGAAUACUCCAGACGUUAGGCUUUGCGAGUUUUUGUUUGUUUACAUAGAAAAGUCUCUUUUAAAUUUCCUUAUUCUUACACUGCAAAGAGACCUAACCUUGAUGGGUCCCAUCUGCAAUGCUCCUCCUGAAAAGAGACAGAGCUGUUUAACUGAACUGACCUAUUUGGAGGACGAAUAGACUGAUUGAAAAAGGUGCCCAGGAAGUCCUGGAACUGAGUCCUGGGGCAAGGUUCUGGAAGUUGGGACAAGAAGACAGCCCUGGUAAUUCUACUGGAAUAUAAUCUCCACGAAGAUAGAUAAGUGGUCUAUUUUGUUUACAGCUGCAUCCUCAGGGCUUAGAACAGUGCUUGAUAUACAAUAAGAUUUGAA